RNAcentral lists this ribosomal RNA (423 nucleotides) under uncultured prokaryote. RNAcentral's name for it is "bacterial SSU rRNA". It matches the Rfam family "Bacterial small subunit ribosomal RNA", at positions 355 to 774 of the family's 1533-position model. The record is from RNAcentral.
UCGAGGAUAUUUAGCAAUGGACGAAAGUCUGACUAUGUGACGCCGCGUGAGGGAUGAAGGUCUUCGGAUCGUAAACCUCUUUCGAUAGGGAAGAAAACCUGCUCUUAACGGAGCAGACUGACGGUACCUAGAGAAGAAGCCACGGCCAACUCUGUGCCAGCAGCCGCGGUAAUACAGAGGUGGCGAGCGUUACUCGGAUUUAUUGGGUGUAAAGGGCAAGUAGGCGUCUUAACAAGUUGGAGGUGAAAUCCUGCAGCUCAACUGCAGAACUGCUCCCAAAACUGUUAGGAUUGAGACUGGAAGAGGAAAGCGGAAUUCUCGGUGUAAGAGUGAAAUCUGUAGAUAUCGAGAGGAACACCAGUGGCGAAGGCGGCCUACUGGGCUCUAACUGACGCUGAGGCUCGAAAGUGUGGGGAGCAAACA